ACGGGUGAGUAACACGUGGGCAAUCUGCCCUUCACUCUGGGACAAGCCCUGGAAACGGGGUCUAAUACCGGAUAUCACUCCUGCAGGCAUCUGUGGGGGUUGAAAGCUCCGGCGGUGAAGGAUGAGCCCGCGGCCUACCAGCUUGUUGGUGAGGUAAUGGCUCACCAAGGCGACGACGGGUAGCCGGCCUGAGAGGGCGACCGGCCACACUGGGACUGGGACACGGCCCAGACUCCUACGGGAGGCAGCAGUGGGGAAUAUUGCACAAUGGGCGAAAGCCUGAUGCAGCGACGCCGCGUGAGGGAUGACGGCCUUCGGGUUGUAAACCUCUUUCAGCAGGGAAGAAGCGAAAGUGACGGUACCUGCAGAAGAAGCGCCGGCUAACUACGUGCCAGCAGCCGCGGUAAUACGUAGGGCGCAAGCGUUGUCCGGAAUUAUUGGGCGUAAAGAGCUCGUAGGCGGUCUGUCGCGUCGGAUGUGAAAGCCCGGGGCUUAACCCCGGGUCUGCAUUCGAUACGGGCAGACUAGAGUGUGGUAGGGGAGAUCGGAAUUCCUGGUGUAGCGGUGAAAUGCGCAGA
RNAcentral lists this ribosomal RNA (578 nucleotides) under uncultured Streptomyces sp. RNAcentral describes it as "bacterial SSU rRNA". It matches the Rfam family "Bacterial small subunit ribosomal RNA", at positions 102 to 694 of the family's 1533-position model. Lineage: Bacteria; Bacillati; Actinomycetota; Actinomycetes; Kitasatosporales; Streptomycetaceae. The record is from RNAcentral.